GACGAACGCUGGCGGCGUGCCUAAUACAUGCAAGUUGAGCGCUGAAGGCUGGUACUUGUACCAACUGGAUGAGCAGCGAACGGGUGAGUAACGCGUGGGGAAUCUGCCUUUGAGCGGGGGACAACAUUUGGAAACGAAUGCUAAUACCGCAUAAAAACUUUAAACACAAGUUUUAAGUUUGAAAGAUGCAAUUGCAUCACUCAAAGAUGAUCCCGCGUUGUAUUAGCUAGUUGGUGAGGUAAAGGCUCACCAAGGCGAUGAUACAUAGCCGACCUGAGAGGCGGAGCGGCCACGUUGGGACGGAGACACGGCCCAAACUCCUGCGGGAGGCAGCAGUAGGGAAUCUUCGGGAAUGGACGCAAGUCUGACCAAGCAACGCCGCGUGAGAGAAGAAGGCUGUCGGGUCGUAAAACUCUGUUGGUAGAGAAGAACGUUGGUGAGAGUGGAAAGCUCAGCAAGUGACGGUAACUACACAGAAAGGGACGGCUAACUACGUG
RNAcentral lists this ribosomal RNA (497 nucleotides) under uncultured bacterium. RNAcentral's name for it is "partial 16S ribosomal RNA". It matches the Rfam family "Bacterial small subunit ribosomal RNA", at positions 28 to 507 of the family's 1533-position model. The record is from RNAcentral.